GAUGAACGCUGGCGGCGUGCCUAAUACAUGCAAGUCGAGCGAACGGACGAGAAGCUUGCUUCUCUGAUGUUAGCGGCGGACGGGUGAGUAACACGUGGAUAACCUACUUAUAAGACUGGGAUAACCUCGGGAAACCGGAGCUAAUACCGGAUAAUAUUUUGAACCGCAUGGUUCAAAAGUGAAAGACGGUCUUGCUGUCACUUAUAGAUGGAUCCGCGCUGCAUUAGCUAGUUGGUAAGGUAACGGCUUACCAAGGCAACGAUGCAUAGCCGACCUGAGAGGGUGAUCGGCCACACUGGAACUGAGACACGGUCCAGACUCCUACGGGAGGCAGCAGUAGGGAAUCUUCCGCAAUGGGCGAAAGCCUGACGGAGCAACGCCGCGUGAGUGAUGAAGGUCUUCGGAUCGUAAAACUCUGUUAUUAGGGAAGAACAUAUGUGUAAGUAACUGUGCACAUCUUGACGGUACCUAAUCAGAAAGCCACGGCUAACUACGUGCCAGCAGCCGCGGUAAUACGUAGGUGGCAAGCGUUAUCCGGAAUUAUUGGGCGUAAAGCGCGCGUAGGCGGUUUUUUAAGUCUGAUGUGAAAGCCCACGGCUCAACCGUGGAGGGUCAUUGGAAACUGGAAAACUUGAGUGCAGAAGAGGAAAGUGGAAUUCCAUGUGUAGCGGUGAAAUGCGCAGAGAUAUGGAGGAACACCAGUGGCGAAGGCGACUUUCUGGUCUGUAACUGACGCUGAUGUGCGAAAGCGUGGGGAUCAAACAGGAUUAGAUACCCUGGUAGUCCACGCCGUAAACGAUGAGUGCUAAGUGUUAGGGGGUUUCCGCCCCUUAGUGCUGCAGCUAACGCAUUAAGCACUCCGCCUGGGGAGUACGACCGCAAGGUUGAAACUCAAAGGAAUUGACGGGGACCCGCACAAGCGGUGGAGCAUGUGGUUUAAUUCGAAGCAACGCGAAGAACCUUACCAAAUCUUGACAUCCUUUGACAACUCUAGAGAUAGAGCUUUCCCCUUCGGGGGACAAAGUGACAGGUGGUGCAUGGUCGUCGUCAGCUCGUGUCGUGAGAUGUUGGGUUAAGUCCCGCAACGAGCGCAACCCUUAAGCUUAGUUGCCAUCAUUAAGUUGGGCACUCUAAGUUGACUGCCGGUGACAAACCGGAGGAAGGUGGGGAUGACGUCAAAUCAUCAUGCCCCUUAUGAUUUGGGCUACACACGUGCUACAAUGGACAAUACAAAGGGCAGCGAAACCGCGAGGUCAAGCAAAUCCCAUAAAGUUGUUCUCAGUUCGGAUUGUAGUCUGCAACUCGACUACAUGAAGCUGGAAUCGCUAGUAAUCGUAGAUCAGCAUGCUACGGUGAAUACGUUCCCGGGUCU
This 1372-nucleotide ribosomal RNA is filed under the name uncultured bacterium. Its description in RNAcentral is "bacterial SSU rRNA". It matches the Rfam family "Bacterial small subunit ribosomal RNA", at positions 28 to 1381 of the family's 1533-position model. The record is from RNAcentral.